Pelobates cultripes (western spadefoot toad) is the source of this 408-nucleotide non-coding RNA. Lineage: Eukaryota; Metazoa; Chordata; Amphibia; Anura; Pelobatidae. The record is from the annotation of a GenBank genome assembly.
GUAAACUGCUACAAUUUUAGCAUAUAUUUAAAGAAAAGGUGUUCUACAGAAGAAUUCGGAUUACUGACAGUGAGUGCUUAAAGGCACACUAUAGGUAUCCAGACCACUUCAGCUCAUUGAAGUGGUCUGGGUUCAAAACCCCAGGUCCAUUUACCCUAGAAUGGUUUACAUUGCAGUUUUGAAUUAACUGCAGUAAUUACCUUUAUGGGUUAACUACACCACUAGUGGCUGUCUACUAGACAGCCACUAGAGGGACAUCUGGUUCGUUACGCGUCACGCUAUGUAUGAGGACAUCUAGUGUCACGAGAAUCCCCAUAGGGCUGUUCUAAUGCGAGUGCGGCCAUUGCCGCACAUUCGCAUUUGGUCUACCCCACCAGCUGACAUCGGUGGGAAAGAGCAAAGGCAGAC